UACGUAGGUGACCAGCGUUGUCCGGAUUUACUGGGCGUAAAGAGCGCGCAGGCGGUCGUUCAAGUCGAGUGUGAAAGCCCCCGGCUCAACUGGGGAGGGUCAUUCGAUACUGCUCGGCUCGAAGACAGGAGAGGGAAGUGGAAUUCCCGGUGUAGUGGUGAAAUGCGUAGAUAUCGGGAGGAACACCAGUGGCGAAGGCGACUUCCUGGCCUGUUCUUGACGCUGAGGCGCGAAAGCUAGGGGAGCAAACGGG
Molecule: ribosomal RNA, 253 nt
Filed under: uncultured bacterium
Lineage: Bacteria
Description: partial 16S ribosomal RNA
Rfam family: Bacterial small subunit ribosomal RNA
Source: RNAcentral